CCCCAUAUAGGAUUUCUGUCCUUAAUGUGUCGUACUAUGAGAAUUAACGGUAAAACUAGUGUUCAAACAGUUAAAAAAAAGUCUGUUUGAAACUUUAAAACCUAGAAAGAAAUAACUAUCCGAGCUUAGACUUCCAAGAAGUGUAUUCUGAAGCAAUAGUCUACAUGCAGGCAGCUUAUUUUGGGGAAGAAUUUCAGGAGGAGAGUGGAGAGUCCAGAGGUGUAGUCGACGUUUCACGCUCCUCCCCCAGCAUUAGCGGAAAGCUUCCUGCCUGUCCUGCUGAAAGCUGGUUUUGUUAACAGAAUAAUUCUGGUGUCAAAAACAUGGACUGGGGCCGGCGCUGUGGCAUAGCAGGAUAAAGCCACUACCUGCAAUACCGGCAUCCCAUAUGGGUGCCGGUUCAAGACCCGGCUGCUCCAUUUCCCAUCCAGCUCUCUGGUAUUACCUGGGGAAAGCAGUGAAAGAUGGCCCAAGUCCUUGGGCCCCUGAACUCACAUGGGAAGAACCAGAGGAAGCUCCUGGCUCCUGGCUUCGGAUCAGCGGAGCUCCAGCUGUUGCAGUCAAUUAGGGAGUGAACCAGCAGAUGGAAAACCUCUCUCUCUCUCUCUGCUUCUCCUUCUCUCUCUGUGUAACUCUGGCUUUCAAAUAAAUAAAUAAAUAAAUCUUUUAAAAAAAUGUACUGCAAGGUAUCCCAACCACUAUUAUCUGGAAGAGAUUGUUGAACAUUGUUUUAAUUCUUCUUUUGACGUUUAAUAAAGUCCUUCAUUGAAA
This is a non-coding RNA of Oryctolagus cuniculus (rabbit), 771 nucleotides long. The record is from RefSeq and is a predicted model, not a curated record. Lineage: Eukaryota; Metazoa; Chordata; Mammalia; Lagomorpha; Leporidae.